CCGAAUACAAUCCGACGGACUGGGUAUGCCAUAAUCCAUUAUUUUGAGCCCACAGUUCAUGCCGUAUUCUUACUGGUCGCCACUUGAAUAGGGAUGGAGGCAUCAGAUUGCGUCCAUCAGUUGUCUUCCUCCUCAACCAAAGAAUCACUCUCGUGAUGGCGAUCUAGGGUAUCAUGACGACCCAGAGACGUCAAUCAAAUUUGAAGAUGGGGUAUUCUAUCAGGAGGGCCUUGACGGCGUCAAGGUGGCCAUAACAACCGGGGCUCUUCCCUCUUCCUCAGUAAGUGAAAAGAAGGCCCUCUCCCAAACAGGGCGCUCGUCUCGCACUACCCCCACGUGCUAACUUCUGCUCCCAAGGGUCGCCGGACUACGCGUAAGAAUUCCUCGGCAGGAGCACAGACCGUGCCAGCUCCAGCCCUUGCUGGGAGAUCAAAGCGGAAAGCCUCCACCGAAGUGGAGGCACCUGCCUCCUCAGCCUAGAGAAGGCGCAUGCCUCUACACCAGUCCGAAGAUCACACAGAUGCGCCGAACCGCAACUCUGGUCCCAAGUCUUCGGCUCAAGCCAGAGCCUCCUCCGAACACGCGGCAGCUGGCAUACCCCCGGCGGACUCCGAUGAUUUUUCGGUCACUAAUUCCGAAGUCGAGAGCGUAAUGAACCAUCGCCGCCGGAGGGAGACUUUAUGUCAUUCUUCCUUUGCCAACAAGAAUUCAGUGCUUUUAAUUCGGACGCGUACCUUGGAGCGGCCCAAACAGGCCGCAAGAGAGCAGAAAAAAAGCUGUCUGAGGACCUUGAAGUUAGACGGACACAGUUGGUCGAAACCAAGGCCGAACUAGAUGCGGCUCGAAAAGCCAGCAGCGAAUUGUCCGGUAAGUAGAAAGACUUGUUGCACAGGUAUACGUUGUAUUUUAUGCAUUAACACCAUAUUCUCCAUAUUGCCGCGGGAAUUGUAAGCGAGCUGCGAAGGGAGCUAGAGGCUGGCGAACGGGUGCUGACGCGAAGUCAGGAGGAGAAAAAUCAGCUCAAGGAAGAGAAACAACGAAAAGCCGAGGAAAUUGAAAGCUUAAGAACCCAGCUGGCGCAAGCCUUGGAUGAGAACUAGAAGCUAAAAGGUGGCAUAUUUGGUCUCCUGACUCAGCGGCCCGAGGAAGAAGCCAACACCUAUGACGGGAACCUAAAGGAGCUGUCGAAGACCUAUUAAAGGGCCCGGAAAGCCAUGAAGAGCGUGGUGAAGGCAUUAUGGCUGUCAGAUGCGCCACCAGAGAGUAUUGCUGAACUAGCCAGUCUCUUUAAAGGGCCUCGACGAAGGUUCGAAUUAUGGAAGAUCUCGGCCUGUAGAGAAGGAGCACGCGAGGUGUGGGCUAUGGUAAAGACCCGUUUCACCAAGCUAGAUCCGGUGCAUAUGGCCCGGGUUGGUCCAGUGGGUCCUGACGGCCAAGAGAUACCACCGAGCUUGGUGUAUGAUGAGGUGAUGCCAGCCACUCGCUAUUAUCAAAAGGGUUGUGCUUUAGAACAAUUGAUAGACAAUGUCGAGAAUGAGUAAUCUUGUCAAUUCUAUGUAUCUAUGUAUUUUACGUUGACUGUGCUCAAUCCACGUUCUUAUUUCUAUUUUUGAAAGAAUGUUGUCUUGACU
Long non-coding RNA from Triticum aestivum (bread wheat), 1631 nucleotides. RefSeq lists it as uncharacterized. The transcript has 4 exons. The record is from RefSeq and is a predicted model, not a curated record. NCBI's taxonomy places the organism in Eukaryota, Viridiplantae, Streptophyta, Magnoliopsida, Poales, Poaceae.